GUACCCAUAGCUCAGCUGGAUAGAGCAUCAGAUUGCGGUUCUGAAGGCCGGUGGUUCGAAUCCACUUGGGUACG
This 74-nucleotide transfer RNA is filed under the name Candidatus Haliotispira prima. Its description in RNAcentral is "Spirochaetaceae bacterium SP-2023 tRNA-Arg". It matches the Rfam family "tRNA". From Rfam's summary of the family: Transfer RNA (tRNA) molecules are approximately 80 nucleotides in length. Their secondary structure includes four short double-helical elements and three loops (D, anti-codon, and T loops). The record is from RNAcentral. Lineage: Bacteria; Pseudomonadati; Spirochaetota; Spirochaetia; Spirochaetales; Spirochaetaceae.